UACGGGGGGGAGCAAGCGUUGUUCGGAUUUACUGGGCGUAAAGGGCGCGUAGGCGGCGUAACAAGUCACUUGUGAAAUCUCCGGGGCUUAACUCGGAGCGGUCAAGUGAUACUGUUGUGCUAGAGUGCGGAAGGGGCUACUGGAAUUCUCGGUGUAGCGGUGAAAUGCGUAGAUAUCGAGAGGAACACCUGCGGCGAAGGCGGGUAGCUGGGCCGACACUGACGCUGAAGCGCGAAAGCUAGGGGAGCGAACGGG
RNAcentral lists this ribosomal RNA (255 nucleotides) under uncultured bacterium. Its description in RNAcentral is "partial 16S ribosomal RNA". It matches the Rfam family "Bacterial small subunit ribosomal RNA", at positions 524 to 776 of the family's 1533-position model. The record is from RNAcentral.